RNAcentral lists this ribosomal RNA (274 nucleotides) under uncultured bacterium. RNAcentral's name for it is "partial 16S ribosomal RNA". It matches the Rfam family "Bacterial small subunit ribosomal RNA", at positions 523 to 796 of the family's 1533-position model. The record is from RNAcentral.
AUACGGAGGGUGCAAGCGUUAAUCGGAAUUACUGGGCGUAAAGCGUACGUAGGCGGUUAUUUAAGUCAGAUGUGAAUGCCCCGGGCUUAACUUGGGAACUGCAUUUGAAACUGGGUAACUAGAGUUUAGUAGAGGGGAGUGGAAUUUCAGGUGUAGCGGUGAAAUGCGUAGAGAUCUGAAGGAACACCAGUGGCGAAGGCGACUCCCUGGACUAAAACUGACGCUGAGGUACGAAAGCGUGGGUAGCAAACAGGAUUAGAAACCCCAGUAGUCC